GUACCGAUGAAGAGUCCCAAACUAGGACGGAACAGUUGUCCAGUAC
RNAcentral lists this non-coding RNA (46 nucleotides) under Trichobilharzia regenti. Lineage: Eukaryota; Metazoa; Platyhelminthes; Trematoda; Strigeidida; Schistosomatidae. The record is from RNAcentral.